Molecule: long non-coding RNA, 2140 nt
Organism: Myxocyprinus asiaticus (Chinese sucker)
Lineage: Eukaryota; Metazoa; Chordata; Actinopteri; Cypriniformes; Catostomidae
Exons: 8
Source: RefSeq, a predicted model, not a curated record
UUGAGUGACAGAUUGUCAAGGUAUGUUCGGUAAUUAUAUAUAUUUGUGCAAUGUUUAUGUAUCCUCACAUUUAUUCUAUUAUUAUGAAUUUCACAUAUGCGUAAUAUAUUACUUUCACUUCUCCAGAUUUCCAUCCAUGUGAGUUGGCAAGCCUUGGUAUGAUCACCUGUGCGGAUUUACAUAGCAGGUUAUUUACAUUUCUGGUUCUCAAGCAUGGUGCGUGGAAGGCCUGAGAAAAAUCAGCUAGCUCCAGUAAGAAGGGAGCAGGAUUUCAAGUAUUUUGGACAAAAUUUAGUGCUGGGUCCCUUGGUCCAAGACCUUAAAGAUCUUGAGAGGAAGGCUUUGCCAAACAUUGAUGAAGAGACCCAAGUUAUUUCUACACUAAAGAAGUGUGGUGUAGAAUGUAAAGGAGACUUGCAGUAUGUACGUCAAGAGGACAUUGAUGGCCUCUUGCCAAUUAUUCAACUUCGCAAGCUAAUGGAGGCAUUUAGAUUAGAGACAGAGACCGUGUUUCUGCAGUUAAUUUCUUGCCCUUCACUGAUGCCUGGCCCAUCUUUACAUACCAGCCCAUAACCAAGUGCUUUCUUGUCAUCUCUUUCUGGCUCAUCACCUCACACAAGCACAUCUUCAAUUUCAUCAUCCCCUGAGAUGGAUUGUACAGGCCCAAUAACUCUUAUCUUCUUUCGCUGUGUCCAAAUCAUGGCCUGAGACAUUUCAGUUCCCUUUGGAAAAAAUGCCCCAAGAAAUCCAUUCAGCAGUUUCUGCUGGGAGGAGGUGCCAAAUGGUAAGAAUCCUAGUGGAUGAGAUGUGCAAAUAUGAGCUUAACCCUUCACGAUCACAAUGUGUUAUAAUCUGCAAAAACAUAAUCAACCAACCAACAGCUUUGCUGAUAUGUUCCCUGAGGGCACCUUAAUGGCUGGAAGUUACUGUUCUCUCUUCAAUCAGGUGAAAACUCAGACUGAGAAUGUAAACCGUGAAAGCACAUUCACACACCAUAGGGUUUCAUCACAUUCUGCACACAAGAGGGGAAUGUGUAAGAUUUCAGCCUCAGAUCCCACCUGAAGAAACUGAACAGACAUUGGAAAACAAGCGACUGAGACUAGAGGAAAUUUACAAAAAGGAGGGCAUGGGUGGAGUAGGAGUGAGCAGAGGUGAUGAAUACAAUGGAGGCUACAUACUGCUGUCAAUGACAGUAUAUAAAUGCAUCACCAUCCCCCUCCAUUGAAGAAGUCAGGAGCCAAUGGCCUUAUCUUUUCCAUUUAAAGUCCAUCUUUACUCAUUUUCAACUCCUAACUGAUAUUAAUGUUCUGCAUUCCCUGGAGCUUUCCUUGGAUCAAAGUGGAAGAUCAUAAAAUCAAAUUAUAAAAAUGUCAAAGCUGUGUUCUCUCAGUCUCAUGCUGAGGAUGUUGAGGUGGGACUCCGUGUUGUGAAGUUACUGAUGGCACACUUUAAAGAAAUCACAGAAGGACUACAGUUUUUUCUGAUGCAUCUGCCAGUGCAGUAGACAUUGAGAGGACCUUUAGUUUACCUGCAAGUCCUCGUCUCAUACUGCUUGUGUACUACAUUUUCAAUGUACAGUACCAGGUACACUGGAAUUCAUUCAGAGGCGUUUUAUUGGUAUAAACCCAUAAAGGGGGUCUAAGACCAGCUGGGACAAAAUGUUCUCAAAAAGGACUGGGAAAAUGGUCCUAAAGAAGACUGUCACAGUCAAUCCCAAUGUCUCCAACCUACUGAAGAAACUCAUAGACUUUGAAUGCAGUUUCAUUUAAAGAAGUCAGCAAUAAGUUCACAUUCUCUCUCAUACACACACUUACAUUGUCACCUUAGUCAAACAUGUGGUCACUCCAAUUCUCACAGUCUUUUGACACAAACUCUCAUGCAUUCAUUGUGACUGUCAUACUGACAUACAACUUAAAGGGCAAGUCUUGUUUUUGCUUAAUUUUUUUUUAGCUGAUUAUGUGAACAUUUUGUUCUUGAAUUUUAUUUCAGUUUGUAAUGCUGCCAUUUUAUUGUAAUUUUUGAUGCUGGAAUUUUGAUAUCUAAUGUGAGUUUUUCAGUUGAAUGUAAUAUGGCAAAACUCAUUGUUUCACAUAACUAAGAUAUGUGAAAUAAAUAAAAGAAUGUUUUAAAUAAAAACGUA